RNAcentral lists this long non-coding RNA (2320 nucleotides) under Medicago truncatula (barrel medic). RNAcentral's name for it is "long non-coding RNA (MTRU_LNC005607)". Lineage: Eukaryota; Viridiplantae; Streptophyta; Magnoliopsida; Fabales; Fabaceae. The record is from RNAcentral.
GUGUUCUGCUUAACUAGCAAGGAUUGUCGAUGCCAUAAAUGUUUCGCUCGCGAGGUUCCAAAGUGUUUUUUGUUCAUGUGUGUCUGCUACAGAAUAUGACUGCAAAAUAAUUAAGUUGAAAAAUAGUUUUUAUGUAUUUUCGAAGUGUAUAAUUUUUGUAUAAGUCAUAUGAUGUUUGUACUUAAGAAUAAAUUUAAUGAAUGCCUCGACAUUGUUUGAUUUAGACAUAUGUAAAAUUAUUGCUCCUGUUAUGAACAAAAUAUAUCAAAAAUAUUAUAUAUAUUUUAUUACUACAUGUUUAUACUAAUAUUUUUUAGCAAAGUUAAAAUUACAAAUGCAUCACCAUGAUGUAUCUGUAUCUCAAAUAGAUAAAAAUAAAGAAAACAGAAAUUUGGGUAGCCAAAAACUAAAUCCAGACCAUAGAUAAUAAAUCAUAUGAAAUGAAAAUAAGGUAGCUCUAAAUUGAUGGUAAAAAUUUGGACCGUUAAAAAAGGAACUAAAUUCUACAAAGAGUCAUAUUUUAAUUGACUUCAAAAAUUGCAAAUUUAUCUGCACAAAUAUUCUCUUUCGUGUAAGUAUGAGAGACUCUGAAAUUUAUAGAGAUGAUUUUUUAUUGCCACGUGACUAAAUCUAUGAUAAACAGCUGAAGUAACGAAAAAAACAAAGAUAGGCUCCAACUUGUUAUACAUGGCAGUUAUCAAAAGUUAAGGAGUUUGUAUCACCAAGUUCUAAAGAGUUUUUUUUUUUUUUUUUUUUUUUUCAAGUAGUUUAGUGGUUAGGAUUCAUCUUUCGAAUCUCGACCCCUGCAUAUAACAAUAUAUGUCCUUAUCAACUAAGUUAUAUUCAUGGACGUGUUUUUCUUUAUUAUUCAAGCUUGCACGCAUGAAUGUCAUUUUUCCUCCAAUAUUUAUUCUUCACAUAACUAUUUUUACAAUUUUGUCCUUUGUUAUCAAUUAAAUAACUUAUUUUUUAAAAUAAUUUGAUAAAACUUUACAACUUCUAUUAUAUCUUAAUUGCAAAAGCAAAAGGAUGGAAAUGUUAGUGUCCAUUUAGACGCUAGUAUGUAUAAUAUAAUUUUAAUAAAAAUAUAUAAUAAAAUUUUCGUAAAAAAAUGACCUUUUACUAUCAUCGAUAUUUUUUUGUGAUAAUUUCAAAAAGGUUAGAUGAUCAAUUGAGUGAGCUAAAAGAUUUAUACAAUACAUUUAUAUACUAAGAAACACUUAACACUAAUUUAUAUUUUAUGUAUGCCUUUUUAAAAUUCUAAGAAUUAAGGACUACUAAAUUGAAGUUAACCAUGCAUGGUUUUUACUUAUAAACUGAUUAAUCAAUUUUCUAUCUAUUAUAUCAAAUGCAAAAAAAAAAAAAAAAUAUGGCUGAAAUUUCCAAAUUCUUUUAUGCUUUCAUCAUUUUCAUUUCUCUAAUUCUUGAUGUCACCAAUGCCGGUAAGUCCUUGUUCGCAUACAUUUCAAACUUUCAUAUUAUACACAAUCAUUCAUCCCUUUUUAGUAAUAUUCAUUUGUUCUUAAUUUAAACCAGGUCCUAUUUUCUGCUAUAACGACGAUGAUUGUCCACAUAUAUGUAGCCAUCCUCGUGUUCAAAAGUGCCGUAUGUUUUUGUGUCACUGCGAGGAAGUUGAGGAGAAAGAUGAAAAAUAAUUGUUUUUUCUAAGCGUAUGCUUUUUUUUGAAUGCCAAAAUGCUGGUACUUCAAGAAUAAAUAUGAGUAUGUUCUUAUUGAAAUUUUAGAAAGAGAAAAAUCUGAACUAAUCAUUUUAUUGGCAAAUGUUAGAAAUUAAUUUUUAUGCUAAAGUUGUGUUGUCGUUUAGUAAGAAAUAAGAAUUUCAAUUUUUGUCAUAUUUCUAGUCUCUAGUUUAUUAUGCAUUUGAAACAGUUUUACAAAUCAAACACGGAACAAUCGGAAUUGUUUUAUCAUAUCCUUCAUUUUUUAGCAUAUCAAACGCACCAAAUGUUUAUACUAAUAUUUUUAAGCAAAAUUAAAAUCCCAAAUGCAUCAUCACAAUGCAUUCGCAUUCAAAAUAUGUUGACACCCAAAUAAAAAUAAAGAAAACAAAAAAUUUGGGAGCCAAAAACGAAAUCCAUACAGCAUAUAAUAAAUUAUAUGAAAUGAAAUUAGGUAGCUCUAAUCAUUGAUGGUAAAAAUCUGAGCUGAUAAAAAAAAGAAUUGAAUUUCACACAGUCAUAUUUUUAAUUGACGAUACAAGUUUAUUGGCACAAAUAUUCUCUUCCGUGUAAGUAUGAGAUACUUUGAAAUUUAUAGAGAUGAUUUUGUAUUGCCACAAGAUUAACUCUUUAGUGUUUAGG